This 259-nucleotide ribosomal RNA is filed under the name uncultured bacterium. RNAcentral describes it as "partial 16S ribosomal RNA". It matches the Rfam family "Bacterial small subunit ribosomal RNA", at positions 96 to 353 of the family's 1533-position model. The record is from RNAcentral.
UGGCGGACGGGUGAGUAACGCGUGGGUAACCUGCCUUGUACUGGGGGACAACAGUUGGAAACGACUGCUAAUACCGCAUAAGCGCACAGCUUCGCAUGAAGCAGUGUGAAAAACUCCGGUGGUACAAGAUGGACCCGCGUCUGAUUAGCUGGUUGGUGAGGUAACGGCCCACCAAGGCGACGAUCAGUAGCCGGCCUGAGAGGGUGAACGGCCACAUUGGGACUGAGACACGGCCCAAACUCCUACGGGAGGCAGCAUG